RNAcentral lists this ribosomal RNA (440 nucleotides) under uncultured bacterium. RNAcentral describes it as "partial 16S ribosomal RNA". It matches the Rfam family "Bacterial small subunit ribosomal RNA", at positions 338 to 795 of the family's 1533-position model. The record is from RNAcentral.
CCUACGGGUGGCAGCAGUGGGGAAUAUUGCACAAUGGGGGAAACCCUGAUGCAGCGACGCCGCGUGAGUGAGGAAGUAUUUCGGUAUGUAAAGCUCUAUCAGUAGGGAAGAAAAUGACGGUACCUGACUAAGACGCCACGGCUAACUCCGUGCCAGCAGCCGCGGUAAUACGUAGGGGGCAAGCGUUAUCCGGAUUUACUGGGUUUAAAGGGAGCGUAGACGGGCUAGCAAGUCGGAUGUGAAAACCCGGGGCUCAACUUCGGGAGUGCAUUGGAAACUGUUGAGCUAGAGUGUCGGAGAGGCAGGCGGAAUGCAUAGUGUAGCGGUGAAAUGCGUAGAUAUUAGAAGGAACACCGAUGGCGAAGGUAGCUUACUGGACGAUGACUGACGUUGAGGCUCGAAAGCGUGGGGAGCAAACAGGAUUAGAUACCCGAGUAGUC